Molecule: ribosomal RNA, 483 nt
Filed under: uncultured bacterium
Lineage: Bacteria
Description: partial 16S ribosomal RNA
Rfam family: Bacterial small subunit ribosomal RNA
Source: RNAcentral
GACGAACGCUGGCGGCGUGCUUAACACAUGCAAGUCGAACGCUGAAGCUCAGCUUUUGUUGGGUGGAUGAGUGGCGAACGGGUGAGUAACACGUGAGUAACCUGCCCCCUUCUUUGGGAUAACGCCCGGAAACGGGUGCUAAUACUGGAUAUUCACUGGUCUUCGCAUGGGGGUUGGUGGAAAGGGUUUUUCUGGUGGGGGAUGGGCUCGCGGCCUAUCAGCUUGUUGGUGGGGUGAUGGCCUACCAAGGCUUUGACGGGUAGCCGGCCUGAGAGGGUGACCGGUCACAUUGGGACUGAGAUACGGCCCAGACUCCUACGGGAGGCAGCAGUGGGGAAUAUUGCACAAUGGGCGCAAGCCUGAUGCAGCGACGCCGCGUGAGGGAUGGAGGCCUUCGGGUUGUGAACCUCUUUCGCUCAUGGUCAAGCCGCAACAAUGGUUAUGGUGAGGGUAGUGGGUAAAGAAGCGCCGGCUAACUACGUG